AUUACAAUUGGCCAAAACUAAGAUAAAUGACAUGUUAUUUCCUAAACAAAUGUGACCUAUUUAAAAAAAAAAUCAAACAGACACAUACAGAAAGACUUUCUAAGCUAAGAGUACAAGUAGUAUAUAAAUUAUAGGUAGAACCAGGAAAGAAAAUAAUACUAAAGGAAGAGCCUCUCCUUCAAUACUAACCCAGGAGUCUCCAUUCAUAAAUAAUAAUCUAAGGUAAAGAGUAUGCCUUAGAGCUGACAACCCAGAGAUAUUAAAAGAUAACUAAAUAUAACAAGGUAACUUAUUUUGUAACAGUACCAAGAAUAAGAACCCAAAAUCACAAAAUAGUAUCUGUUUUAUCCUAACAAAGGCAAAAAAAAAACAAAAACAAAA
Non-coding RNA from Oryctolagus cuniculus (rabbit), 381 nucleotides. The record is from RefSeq and is a predicted model, not a curated record. Lineage: Eukaryota; Metazoa; Chordata; Mammalia; Lagomorpha; Leporidae.